RNAcentral lists this ribosomal RNA (481 nucleotides) under uncultured bacterium. RNAcentral's name for it is "partial 16S ribosomal RNA". It matches the Rfam family "Bacterial small subunit ribosomal RNA", at positions 28 to 523 of the family's 1533-position model. The record is from RNAcentral.
GACGGACGCUGGCGGCGUGCUUAACACAUGCAAGUCGAACGAUGAAGCCGCUUCGGUGGUGGAUUAGUGGCGAACGGGUGAGUAACACGUGGGUAAUCUGCCCUGCACUCUGGGAUAAGCCUUGGAAACGAGGUCUAAUACCGGAUACGACCCGUCACCGCAGGGGGUGCGUGUGGAAAGGUCCGGCGGUGCAGGAUGAGCCCGCGGCCUAUCAGCUGGUUGGUGGGGUAGUGGCCUACCAAGGCGACGACGGGUAGCCGGCCUGAGAGGGUGACCGGCCACACUGGGACUGAGACACGGCCCAGACUCCUACGGGAGGCAGCAGUGGGGAAUCUUGCGCAAUGGGCGAAAGCCUGACGCAGCAACGCCGCGUGGGGGAUGACGGCCUUCGGGUUGUAAACCUCUUUCGACAGGGACGAAGCGCGAGUGACGGUACCUGUAGAAGAAGCACCGGCUAACUACGUGCCAGCCGCCGCAGUAA